RNAcentral lists this ribosomal RNA (215 nucleotides) under uncultured bacterium. RNAcentral describes it as "partial 16S ribosomal RNA". It matches the Rfam family "Bacterial small subunit ribosomal RNA", at positions 524 to 738 of the family's 1533-position model. The record is from RNAcentral.
CACGUAGGGCGCAAGCGUUGUCCGGAAUUAUUGGGCGUAAAGAGCUCGUAGGUGGUUUGUUACGUCUGCUGUGAAAACCUAGGGCUUAACCCUGGGCUUGCAGUGGAUACGGGCAGACUAGAGGUAGGUAGGGGAGAAUGGAAUUCCUGGUGUAGCGGUGGAAUGCGCAGAUAUCAGGAGGAACACCGGUGGCGAAGGCGGGUCUCUGGGGCCGU